RNAcentral lists this ribosomal RNA (253 nucleotides) under uncultured bacterium. RNAcentral describes it as "partial 16S ribosomal RNA". It matches the Rfam family "Bacterial small subunit ribosomal RNA", at positions 524 to 776 of the family's 1533-position model. The record is from RNAcentral.
UACGUAGGGGGCAAGCGUUGUCCGGAUUUAUUGGGCGUAAAGAGCGUGUAGGCGGCCACACAGGUCCGCUGUGAAAACUCGAGGCUCAACCUCGAGCUGUCGGUGGAAACCGUGUGGCUAGAGUCCGGAAGAGGAGAGUGGAAUUCCCGGUGUAGCGGUGAAAUGCGCAGAUAUCGGGAAGAACACCCGUGGCGAAGGCGGCUAUCUGGACUGUGAUUGACGCUGAGGCGCGAAAGCGUGGGGAGCAAACAGG